GGGCCCGCACAAGCGGAGGAACAUGUGGUUUAAUUCGAUGAUACGCGAGGAACCUUACCCGGGCUUGAAAUGGAGAGGAAUAACCUGGAAACAGGUUAGCCAGCAAUGGCCUCUUUGUAGGUGCUGCAUGGUUGUCGUCAGCUCGUGCCGUGAGGUGUCGGCUUAAGUGCCAUAACGAGCGCAACCCCUGCCGCCAGUUGCCAUCAGGUCAUGCUGGGCACUCUGGCGGGACUGCCGCCGUAAGGUGCGAGGAAGGCGGGGAUGACGUCAAAUCAGCACGGCCCUUACGUCCGGGGCGACACACGUGUUACAAUGGGGGGGUACAGAGGGUCGCUACCGCGCGAGCGGAUGCCAAUCUCAAAAAGCCUCUCUCAGUUCGGAUCGGAGUCUGCAACUCGACUCCGUGAAGCUGGAUUCGCUAGUAAUCGCGCAUCAGCCAUGGCG
RNAcentral lists this ribosomal RNA (444 nucleotides) under uncultured Bacteroidota bacterium. RNAcentral's name for it is "bacterial SSU rRNA". It matches the Rfam family "Bacterial small subunit ribosomal RNA", at positions 917 to 1359 of the family's 1533-position model. Lineage: Bacteria; Pseudomonadati; Bacteroidota. The record is from RNAcentral.